AGUGAACGCUGGCGGUAGGCCUAACACAUGCAAGUCGAACGGCAGCACAGUAAGAGCUUGCUCUUACGGGUGGCGAGUGGCGGACGGGUGAGGAAUACAUCGGAAUCUACUUUUUCGUGGGGGAUAACGUAGGGAAACUUACGCUAAUACCGCAUACGACCCACGGGUGAAAGCAGGGGAUCUUCGGACCUUGCGCGAUUGAAUGAGCCGAUGUCGGAUUAGCUAGUUGGCGGGGUAAAGGCCCACCAAGGCGACGAUCCGUAGCUGGUCUGAGAGGAUGAUCAGCCACACUGGAACUGAGACACGAUCCAGACUCCUACGGGAGGCAGCAGUGGGGAAUAUUGGACAAUGGGCGCAAGCCUGAUCCAGCCAUACCGCGUGGGUGAAGAAGGCCUUCGGGUUGUAAAGCCCUUUUGUUGGGAAAGAAAAGCAGCAGGUUAAUACCCCGCUGUUCUGACGGUACCCAAAGAAUAAGCACCGGCUAACUUCGUG
RNAcentral lists this ribosomal RNA (492 nucleotides) under uncultured bacterium. RNAcentral's name for it is "partial 16S ribosomal RNA". It matches the Rfam family "Bacterial small subunit ribosomal RNA", at positions 29 to 507 of the family's 1533-position model. The record is from RNAcentral.